Molecule: long non-coding RNA, 214 nt
Filed under: Elaeis guineensis (African oil palm)
Lineage: Eukaryota; Viridiplantae; Streptophyta; Magnoliopsida; Arecales; Arecaceae
Description: long non-coding RNA (EGUI_LNC058729)
Source: RNAcentral
GAAGGAUCAUGUCACCUUCCCUUAAUCUCUUACUUUCUAUUAGUCCCUGCAUUAAAGUGCAUAUAUGAGUACUCGAAUCAGAGUCCAAUAUCCAACUAGAAGUGGAAGAAACUAUAAGAUUAGAUUCAACUACGAGCAUAUCUUCUGAAGAUUUGUCAUCCUUUUUGAUCUUCAGGCUCUCCAGAUAGAGAGGACAGCUCCUUCUCUAGUGGCC